GACGACCUCUGGCGGCGCGCCUAACACAUGCAAGUCGAACGAGCGAGAGAGAGCUUGCUUUCUCGAGCGAGUGGCGAACGGGUGAGUAACGCGUGAGGAACCUGCCUCAAAGAGGGGGACAACAGUUGGAAACGACUGCUAAUACCGCAUAAGCCCACGGUGCCGCAUGGCACAGAGGGAAAAGGAGCAAUCCGCUUUGAGAUGGCCUCGCGUCCGAUUAGCUAGUUGGUGAGGUAACGGCCCACCAAGGCGACGAUCGGUAGCCGGACUGAGAGGUUGAACGGCCACAUUGGGACUGAGACACGGCCCAGACUCCUACGGGAGGCAGCAGUGGGGAAUAUUGCACAAUGGGGGAAACCCUGAUGCAGCGACGCCGCGUGGAGGAAGAAGGUCUUCGGAUUGUAAACUCCUGUUGUUGGGGAAGAUAAUGACGGUACCCAACAAGGAAGUGACGGCUAACUACGUGCCAGCAGCCGCGGUAAAACGUAGGUCACAAGCGUUGUCCGGAAUUACUGGGUGUAAAGGGAGCGCAGGCGGGAAGACAAGUUGGAAGUGAAAUCUAUGGGCUCAACCCAUAAACUGCUUUCAAAACUGUUUUUCUUGAGUAGUGCAGAGGUAGGCGGAAUUCCCGGUGUAGCGGUGGAAUGCGUAGAUAUCGGGAGGAACACCAGUGGCGAAGGCGGCCUACUGGGCACCAACUGACGCUGAGGCUCGAAAGUGUGGGUAGCAAACAGGAUUAGAUACCCUGGUAGUCCACACCGUAAACGAUGAUUACUAGGUGUUGGAGGAUUGACCCCUUCAGUGCCGCAGUUAACACAAUAAGUAAUCCACCUGGGGAGUACGACCGCAAGGUUGAAACUCAAAGGAAUUGACGGGGGCCCGCACAAGCAGUGGAGUAUGUGGUUUAAUUCGACGCAACGCGAAGAACCUUACCAAGUCUUGACAUCCCUUGACAGGCAUAGAAAUAUGUUUUCUCUUCGGAGCAAGGAGACAGGUGGUGCAUGGUUGUCGUCAGCUCGUGUCGUGAGAUGUUGGGUUAAGUCCCGCAACGAGCGCAACCCUUAUGGUCAGUUACUACGCAAGAGGACUCUGGCCAGACUGCCGUUGACAAAACGGAGGAAGGUGGGGAUGACGUCAAAUCAUCAUGCCCUUUAUGACUUGGGCUACACACGUACUACAAUGGCGUUAAACAAAGAGAAGCAAGACCGCGAGGUGGAGCAAAACUCAGAAACGACGUCCCAGUUCGGACUGCAGGCUGCAACUCGCCUGCACGAAGUCGGAAUUGCUAGUAAUCGUGGAUCAGCAUGCCACGGUGAAUACGUUCCCGGGCCUUGUACU
RNAcentral lists this ribosomal RNA (1338 nucleotides) under uncultured bacterium. RNAcentral describes it as "bacterial SSU rRNA". It matches the Rfam family "Bacterial small subunit ribosomal RNA", at positions 28 to 1387 of the family's 1533-position model. The record is from RNAcentral.